RNAcentral lists this ribosomal RNA (446 nucleotides) under uncultured bacterium. Its description in RNAcentral is "bacterial SSU rRNA". It matches the Rfam family "Bacterial small subunit ribosomal RNA", at positions 330 to 793 of the family's 1533-position model. The record is from RNAcentral.
ACCAGACUCCUACGGGAGGCAGCAGUAGGGAAUAUUGCUCAAUGGGGGAAACCCUGAAGCAGCAACGCCGCGUGGAGGAUGAAGGUUUUCGGAUUGUAAACUCCUUUUGUUAGAGAAGAUAAUGACGGUAUCUAACGAAUAAGCACCGGCUAACUCCGUGCCAGCAGCCGCGGUAAUACGGAGGGUGCGAGCGUUAAUCGGAAUUACUGGGCGUAAAGCGCACGUAGGCUGUAUGACAAGUCAAGGGUGAAAUGCCACGGCUCAACCGUGGAACUGCCUUUGAAACUGUCAAACUGGAGUAUGUGAGAGGGCGGCGGAAUUCCUGGUGUAGGAGUGAAAUCCGUAGAUAUCAGGAGGAACAUCAGUGGCGAAGGCGACUAUCUGGCACAUAACUGACGCUGAGGAGCGAAAGCGUGGGUAGCAAACAGGAUUAGAUACCCUCGUAA